AUUGAACGCUGGCGGCAGGCCUAACACAUGCAAGUCGAGCGGAUGAAGGGAGCUUGCUCCUGGAUUCAGCGGCGGACGGGUGAGUAAUGCCUAGGAAUCUGCCUGGUAGUGGGGGAUAACGUCCGGAAACGGGCGCUAAUACCGCAUAAGUCCAGAGGGAGAAAGUGGGGGAUCUUCGGACCUCACGCUAUCAGAUGAGCCUAGGUCGGAUUAGCGAGUUGGUGGGGUAAAGGCCUACCAAGGCGACGAUCCGUAGCUGGUCUGAGAGGAUGAUCAGUCACACUGGAACUGAGACACGGUCCAGACUCCUACGGGAGGCAGCAGUGGGGAAUAUUGGACAAUGGGCGAAAGCCUGAUCCAGCCAUGCCGCGUGUGUGAAGAAGGUCUUCGGAUUGUAAAGCACUUUAAGUUGGGAGGAAGGGCAGUAAGUUAAUACCUUGCUGUUUUGACGUUACCAACAGAAUAAGCACCGGCUAACUUCGUG
This 484-nucleotide ribosomal RNA is filed under the name uncultured bacterium. RNAcentral describes it as "partial 16S ribosomal RNA". It matches the Rfam family "Bacterial small subunit ribosomal RNA", at positions 30 to 507 of the family's 1533-position model. The record is from RNAcentral.